AGUGAACGCUGGCGGUGGGCCUAACACAUGCAAGUCGAACGGCAGCACAAUAAGAGUUUGCUCUUACGGUUGGCGAGUGGCGGACGGGUAAGAAAUACAUCGGAUUCUACUUUUUCUUGGGGGAUAUCGUAGGGAAACUUACGCUAAUACCGCAUACGGCCUACGGGUUAAAGCAGUGGAUCUUCGGACCUUUGCUGUUUGAAUUAGCCGGUGUCGGAUUAGCUAGUUGGCGAGGUAAGGGCCCACCAAGGCAACGAUCCGUAGCUGGUCUGAGAGGAUGAUCGGCCACACUGGAACUGAGACACGGUCCAGACUCCUACGGGAGGCAGCAGUGGGGAAUAUUGGACAAUGGGCGCAAGCCUGACGCAGCAAUGCCGCGUGAGUGAAGAAGGCCUUCGGAUCGUAAAACCCUGUUAUUAGGAAAGAACACCUGUCUGAGAAAACAUGGAUGGGUUGACGGUACCCAAACAGAAAGCCACGGCUAACUACGUG
RNAcentral lists this ribosomal RNA (492 nucleotides) under uncultured bacterium. RNAcentral describes it as "partial 16S ribosomal RNA". It matches the Rfam family "Bacterial small subunit ribosomal RNA", at positions 29 to 507 of the family's 1533-position model. The record is from RNAcentral.